GGGGACGUAGCUCAAUUGGUUAGAGUUUCGGACUGUCGAUCCGGAGGUUGCGGGUUCGAUUCCCGUCGUCCUCG
This 74-nucleotide transfer RNA is filed under the name Planctomycetaceae bacterium. RNAcentral's name for it is "tRNA-Asp". It matches the Rfam family "tRNA". Rfam says of the family: Transfer RNA (tRNA) molecules are approximately 80 nucleotides in length. Their secondary structure includes four short double-helical elements and three loops (D, anti-codon, and T loops). Further hydrogen bonds mediate the characteristic L-shaped molecular structure. tRNAs have two regions of fundamental functional importance: the anti-codon, which is responsible for specific mRNA codon recognition, and the 3' end, to which the tRNAs corresponding amino acid is attached (by aminoacyl-tRNA synthetases). tRNAs cope with the degeneracy of the genetic code in two manners: having more than one tRNA (with a specific anti-codon) for a particular amino acid; and 'wobble' base-pairing, i.e. permitting non-standard base-pairing at the 3rd anti-codon position. The record is from RNAcentral. Lineage: Bacteria; Pseudomonadati; Planctomycetota; Planctomycetia; Planctomycetales; Planctomycetaceae.